GACGAACGCUGGCGGCGUGCUUAACACAUGCAAGUCGAACGGAAAGGCCCUGCUUUUGUGGGGUGCUCGAGUGGCGAACGGGUGAGUAACACGUGAGUAACCUGCCCUUGACUUUGGGAUAACUUCAGGAAACUGGGGCUAAUACCGGAUAGGAGCUCCUGCUGCAUGGUGGGGGUUGGAAAGUUUCGGCGGUUGGGGAUGGACUCGCGGCUUAUCAGCUUGUUGGUGGGGUAGUGGCUUACCAAGGCUUUGACGGGUAGCCGGCCUGAGGGGGUGACCGGCCACUUUGGGCGGGAGUUACGGCCCAGACCCCCACGGGGGGGAGGAGGGGGGAAUAUUGCACAAGGGGCGGAAGCCGGAUGCAGAAACGCCGGGGGGGGGAUGGCGGCCUUCGGGUUGUAACCCGCUUUCGCCUGUAACGAAGGGUAAGGAGGGGAAAGGGGGAAAAAAGCCCGGGCAAACUAGGG
This 467-nucleotide ribosomal RNA is filed under the name uncultured bacterium. Its description in RNAcentral is "partial 16S ribosomal RNA". It matches the Rfam family "Bacterial small subunit ribosomal RNA", at positions 28 to 506 of the family's 1533-position model. The record is from RNAcentral.